This 84-nucleotide transfer RNA is filed under the name Candidatus Omnitrophota bacterium. RNAcentral's name for it is "tRNA-Leu". It matches the Rfam family "tRNA". Rfam says of the family: Transfer RNA (tRNA) molecules are approximately 80 nucleotides in length. Their secondary structure includes four short double-helical elements and three loops (D, anti-codon, and T loops). The record is from RNAcentral. Lineage: Bacteria; Pseudomonadati; Candidatus Omnitrophota.
GCCGGGAUGGUGGAAUUGGCAGACACAACAGACUUAAAAUCUGUCGGGCUUCGGUCCAUGCCGGUUCAAGUCCGGCUCUCGGCA